CACUGCCGCCACGGUCUCCUCCUCCCUGGUGGCCGCGGGCGGCCCGCCCGCUCAGCUGCAUAUUCUAUAUCUGAAGGCAACCUGGUACUGGUCUAGUGCGCCGUGAUGCUGCCACUGUCUCCUCCUCCCCGGUGCUCCUAGAUCCAAUAAUAUCUCACCGGAGGCAAGCCGGUGGUCCUCGAUCUCCUCGCCUCCUUUACCUCGCAGGAUCAGCAGCAAGGUCAGCUGCGUUUCUCCCACUCCCCUCUCCCCUCUCCCUCCUAUAGAUUUCUCUCUAGAUUUCUCUCUAGAUUUCUCUCUAAUGGUAGCUUCCCUCUCCUGUGACGACUUGGAUGGCUUUCAUUGGUGUUGUUUGAUGAUUAAACAUAGCAUGAUGCUUACUGAUAGGACUUAGUUGUGGUAUGCUAUCCAAAAACACAUGGGUCUGUCAACAUUUAUCAUUGUAGCUCAUAUUUUGUACUGUGUUGUGUUCAAGAAGAAGCAUAUUCAUCUAUUGAAAAUUUACACAUAUGCAGUGUAUACAUACAUGUUUGAUUUUUGUUCAGAAUUUGGUUCUCCUUUUAAAUAUGCAUUUCGUAUUUUCCAAAAAAAGUGGUUCAAUGGAGGUUGAGCUCCAAAGUGCCUCACCCGUGGUUUUAACUAUAUUUGAUGAAAUGGACAAGCUUACUGCUUUAAUUUUCAAAGGAGUGCAGAGAGAGUUGGAGCAAAACCAGAUGGACAUAGUAGAUUCUGGUGAGAGGCUGAGAAACUUGAAUAUGACUAGCAGUGUGUUCAUGUGUUGUUUUAGAUUUUUAAAUAUCGAAUUCACCUAACCAAAAUAGUUAGAGAAUAGUGUAUAUAUUUAACCGAGAAGUUGAAGUAUAUCAUUAUUGUUUCAGUUUGCAUUCAUUGUAACCUUCCGCGUGUAAAAUAAGACUGUACCUUCUAAUUUGCAACCUGGCAAUUGGAGAUGACUUCCUUAAUUUGAUAUGUUUCAGGAGACUCUUAGUAUCUGGAUUUUGUGCAAAACACAUUUAGACUCUCAGUACCCCCUUUAGGUUGUAUCGCAUGGUUGCAUAUGCUUAGUUGGUGGCCUGGUCUCUAGUGUUUGAUAGUGGUGACUGGUGACCGUCAAAUUUGUCUCGACAAAAGUAUUGUUACAUUUUGUGCUUCCUGUCAAUCUCCAUGUAUUUGAACCCUGGAGCUGGCAGAUCUUAACAAAUUCCUCUCUCUUUGAAAGGGCGGAAAAGAUCACGGUCCUUUUAUUUUUCUCGUUGAAAAUUAGUUUUUCUCUAAGCAUCAAUAACUAAUAAAAUCCAUUUACUGGUCUGGGUUGUAGAUUUAAGGAGGAGGGCCGUAGGUGCUUUGGAGAAUGCCUUUUUUUUGUUAACAUGAUUGAUGCAUUCUCUUCAAGCUUUAUAGUCAAAACAAAAUUGAAUGUCUUCUUCCAGAAAAAGAAAAGUAGUCACACUUGUUUGCCGGAAAAUCUUUUUGUCAACGAAAAUGUGACCUGAAGGUCAACGAUUGCUUACAGGAUGACCUAACUUGUUGAUUUCAUGAUUUCCAAUAUGCAAAAGGUAGCUUCUAUUUUGCCUUCCAUUCUUUCUAGGUGCACAUUAUAUUUGGCGCAUUGGAAUGGGCGGCAAGUCUUGUACGCUGCCAUUUUGUUCACUGGUAGUAGUGAACUAUUUGUUCUAUAGACCACAAAAAAGAUAAAAUACGGUUCCUCAGAUCACUAUGAUAUAGGAGUAUUAUUUAAGCAGUACAUGAACACAUGCUGAUUGGAGCCCGGUUAUGAUCGAGCCUAAAGCCAAAAUAAAAUAAAAUCAGUGAUAGUGGUAGAAUCACUACAACCACACUGAUGAACUGGUGAAAUAUAAAAUUAAGAUAAAAUUGAAUUGUCAAAGUCUGCUGCACUUUAAUUGGUUUCCACAGUGUGAAGCGGUUCACAACUACUCUUUCUCGGCCAUCUUGUUCAUUUUUAUUUCCUGUGUCGUUGUAGUUUUCUUUCACAUGUGAAUAAUUGCCAUUGUUGUGCGUGUAAUAUUGCACUAUCUAUGUGGUUAACUAGUUAUAGCUACUAUUGUUCUUGAAUCAUGACUGCUUUUGAGUGAUAGAACUGUCCAGUUGCAUCGAGGGAUACUAUUUGAUCAUACGGCUAUUUUCUUAUUUGAAUAUACGAUGGUCUAUUAGAAAAUCCCAAAGGUUUAUAGGAUUGAUGUCUAAUAUGAUUCUGCAUUUGCAUGUUAGCCUAAGUUUAUCCGAACUUUAUAUGUAAAUAUUUGUGUUGCCUAAUUCUGCCGGUGCUUGCCAAUCUCACCUAUGAACAGAAUCUGCACCAAAGUGUUUUUUGUACAAGAUAAACAAUGUUUUAUAAUCUGUUCCAUUAUUAGAGUUAGGAUGAUCCACAAAAUAGCUGGCGGUUCUACCAGUACCAGCAUAGAAGCAUACCGCAUACCUCAGGUUGUGUUUUGGGAUGAAUUUGAUUCAUCACUAUUUUUCCUUUCAUGUGGUAUGUGCAGCACACAGCGAGAUGGCAUUGUUGAUGCAUAUUUAUUCGAUUAGAUCAUGAGCAAUAAGUGCUUGACACUUGUACAGACAUGUGCUAACUGAAUCUUAUUUGUUAUUAUGUUUGAUCUCUCCUAGCGCAAGAAGCUCGAUGAGCAAUAAGCACUAGUAAUGGAGGCAGAGGCAACAGCUUUUCUGUUGUGUGCCAUCAAGUAGCAAAAGUUGAUGCAAUGCGAUUAUUUUGGCCCUUCAUAAUUAGUUUUGCAUGAGAUAUACCAAAAAUGAUCCUCGCAUGCUAUGUUACACUUGAUAAGUUAUGUAUGUGUGUCUCUUCUGUUGUGUUUGGUCCGGGAUCGUGCAAUUUGAAAUGUAUGUUUAGUUAUGAUUUCAAGUGGAUGGAUUAAUGUUCUCAUGUACUCUAAUAUUGGUGAUGAUGUUCACAUACUUUUAGUGACCAACAUGCUCAAAUGUAUGGAUUUCUUGCAUGGUUCGUGAUGUAGCAGAAGCUACUAAUGAAAUCAAAUAUACAUGGAAUCUAGUACAGAACAUAUGUAUAUGCGGUUUUGUGUAAACCUAAGAGGAGAGGGGCACUCGUAUAGGUUUAAAAAAUUGUUUUAUUUAUGAAGGACAACUUGAUUGAUAUAUGAGAGAUUUGAGGUGGUUACUGUAAGGACAACUUGAUUGAUGUAUGAGAGAAUUGAGGUGGUUAUUGUAAAGACAACUUGAUUGAUAUAUGAGAGAUUUGAGGUAAGUAAUGUUCUAUAUAUAACUAGUAUUAGGGGGUUUUCAACACUGAGAACCCUCCAUCUAAAUCUGUACCAGUCAUCUUCCAUCCAAUGGGCCAGGUUCAUUUUUUCUAUUUUUUCACCAUAGACCCAGAUUCU
This 3371-nucleotide long non-coding RNA is filed under the name Triticum aestivum (bread wheat). Its description in RNAcentral is "long non-coding RNA (TAES_LNC001686)". The record is from RNAcentral. Lineage: Eukaryota; Viridiplantae; Streptophyta; Magnoliopsida; Poales; Poaceae.